GCUACACGAAGAACCUUUACAGGGUUUGACAUGUAAGUGGUAGUGAUCUGAAAAGUGAACGACCCUUCGGGGAGCUUACACAGGUGCUGCAUUGGCUGUCGUCAGCUCGUGUCGUGAGAUGUUCGGUUAAGUCCGCUAACGAGCGCAACCCUCACUGUGUGUUAUACGUGUCACACGGGACUGCCGGUUUUUAAGCCGGAGGAAGGCGAGGAUGACGUCAAGUCAGCAUGGCCCUUAUAUCCUGGGCUACACACACGCUACAAUGGUCUGUACAACAGGUUGCCAAACCGCGAGGUGGAGCCAAUCCCUAAAACAGGCCUCAGUUCAGAUUGCAGGCUGCAACCCGCCUGCAUGAAGCCGGAGUUGCUAGUAACCGCAGGUCAGCUAUACUGCGGUGAAUACGUUCCCGGGUCUU
RNAcentral lists this ribosomal RNA (415 nucleotides) under uncultured Anaerolineaceae bacterium. RNAcentral's name for it is "bacterial SSU rRNA". It matches the Rfam family "Bacterial small subunit ribosomal RNA", at positions 956 to 1382 of the family's 1533-position model. The record is from RNAcentral. Lineage: Bacteria; Bacillati; Chloroflexota; Anaerolineae; Anaerolineales; Anaerolineaceae.